RNAcentral lists this ribosomal RNA (468 nucleotides) under uncultured bacterium. RNAcentral describes it as "partial 16S ribosomal RNA". It matches the Rfam family "Bacterial small subunit ribosomal RNA", at positions 28 to 507 of the family's 1533-position model. The record is from RNAcentral.
GACGAACGCUGGCGGCGUGCUUAACACAUGCAAGUCGAACGGAAAGGCCCUGCUUUUGUGGGGUGCUCGAGUGGCGAACGGGUGAGUAACACGUGAGUAACCUGCCCUUGACUUUGGGAUAACUUCAGGAAACUGGGGCUAAUACCGGAUAGGAGCUCCUGCUGCAUGGUGGGGGUUGGAAAGUUUCGGCGGUUGGGGAUGGACUCGCGGCUUAUCAGCUUGUUGGUGGGGUAGUGGCUUACCAAGGCUUUGACGGGUAGCCGGCCUGAGAGGGUGACCGGGGAAAGGGGGAAGGAGGUACGGCAGGGAGUAGUGCGGAAGAUAGGGGACGGGGCGAGAGCGGAAUGGGGCGAAGUCGGGGGCAGGAUGGCGGCGUGAGGGGUGGUGACCUGCUGGUUGGAGGGGAGAAAGGCAGGGGAGGGACCGGGAGUGACGGUAACGGGUAAAGAAGCACCGGCUAAUUACGUG